CCGAUCAAACCCCAGCCUGGAAAGGGGAAGCACCCCUAGAUGAGGAGCUCUUGGCAAUGAACGGCUGCUGGAAAGGAAGAGUCAGUUUUCUGUGUGUGGGCCCUGGUAACUGACCACACUCCAGUGGGCACACAUCCGAGAGAAAAGCCACGCAGGCUCGAAUUCCAGCAAGCAUGCAUGCCAAUAUCCCCUUGAUACAGACAUCUUCAAGGUGCCUAACCACAAGAAGGAUGUCACCUCACUCCCAAAGGAACAGGCAUACACCAGUGAACAAUACCCAAGGUGAAACUUUCAUCCUAGACGACCUCAAGAAUUGGGACUGGAGAGAUGGCUCAGUGUUAAGAGCACUGGCUGACCUUCCAGGAGAGGUGGGUUUGAGUUCCGGCACCCACAUAAUGGCUCACAACUAUCUGUAACUCCACCUGCAGGGCAUCUAGAGCCCUCUUCUGGCAUCUGUAGGUACUGCCCACAAGUGGUGCACAGCUAUAUAUGCAGGC
Long non-coding RNA from Peromyscus eremicus (cactus mouse), 497 nucleotides. RefSeq lists it as uncharacterized. The record is from RefSeq and is a predicted model, not a curated record. The transcript is spliced from 3 exons. Lineage: Eukaryota; Metazoa; Chordata; Mammalia; Rodentia; Cricetidae.